UGUCAUGAUUCGUGAAAACCCCAUUCAAUAUGAUGCUUUCGCUUCGGGUCCUACACCUCCUCUUCCUCCUUCACCCCAUCCUCCUCUUGCUCGACCUCCGAGAGUUAGGAAACCUCCUUCGCGUCUUGGUGGCUAUCACUAUUUUUGUACCAAAGCUGCUACCAAUCUUCUUGCGCCUCCACAUCCAGGUAAAUCCAUGCUUCCUUUGUCAAAUUUAUCAUCCUCUCAUUCACAUUUUACUUUAUCUCUUCUCACUUCUCAAGAGCCUAA
Molecule: long non-coding RNA, 270 nt
Filed under: Gossypium raimondii (Peruvian cotton)
Lineage: Eukaryota; Viridiplantae; Streptophyta; Magnoliopsida; Malvales; Malvaceae
Description: long non-coding RNA (GRAI_LNC007244)
Source: RNAcentral